Molecule: ribosomal RNA, 557 nt
Filed under: uncultured bacterium
Lineage: Bacteria
Description: partial 16S ribosomal RNA
Rfam family: Bacterial small subunit ribosomal RNA
Source: RNAcentral
UGGGGAAUCUUGCGCAAUGGGCGAAAGCCUGACGCAGCCAUGCCGCGUGAGUGAUGAAGGCCUUAGGGUUGUAAAACUCUUUCACCGGGGACGAUAAUGACGGUACCCGGAGAAGAAGCCCCGGCUAACUUCGUGCCAGCAGCCGCGGUAAUACGAAGGGGGCUAGCGUUGCUCGGAAUUACUGGGCGUAAAGGGCGCGUAGGCGGAUCAGCAAGUUGGGGGUGAAAGCCCGGGGCUCAACCUCGGAAUUGCCUUCAAAACUGCUGAUCUAGAGUACGGGAGAGGUGUGUGGAACUCCGAGUGUAGAGGUGAAAUUCGUAGAUAUCGGAAGAACACCAGUGGCGAAGGCGACACACUGGCCCGUUACUGACGCUGAGGCGCGAAAGCGUGGGGAGCAAACAGGAUUAGAUACCCUGGUAGUCCACGCUGUAAACGAUGAUUGCUAGUUGUCGGCAGGCAUGCCUGUCGGUGACNCAGCUAACGCAUUAAGCAAUCCGCCUGGGGAGUACGGUCGCAAGAUUAAAAACUUAAAUGAAUUGACGGGGUCAUAGCUGUUU